UGUGUGAGUAUACAGUGUGUGUGUUAGUGUGUGAGUAUACAGUGUGUGUGUGAGUUGGUGAGUAUACAGUGUGUGUGAGUGUGUGAGUAUACAGUGUGUGUGUUAGUGGGUGAGUAUACAGUGUGUGUGUUAGUGGGUGAGUAUACAGUGUGUGUGAGUGUGUGAGUAUACAGUGUGUGUGUGAGUGUGUGAGUAUACAGUGUGUGUUAGUGGGUGAGUAUACAGUGUGUGUGUUAGUGUGUGAGUAUACAGUAUUAUACAGUGUGUGUGAGUAUACAGUGUGUGUUAGUGUGUGAGUAUACAGUGUGUGUGUCAGUGUGUGAGUAUACAGUGUGUGUGAG
This is a long non-coding RNA of Ictalurus punctatus (channel catfish), 341 nucleotides long. NCBI's taxonomy places the organism in Eukaryota, Metazoa, Chordata, Actinopteri, Siluriformes, Ictaluridae. The record is from Ensembl.